Long non-coding RNA from Mercenaria mercenaria, 4347 nucleotides. RefSeq lists it as uncharacterized. Lineage: Eukaryota; Metazoa; Mollusca; Bivalvia; Venerida; Veneridae. The transcript is spliced from 3 exons. The record is from RefSeq and is a predicted model, not a curated record.
AUCAUAUGGCUUUGCUUGCACCACUGGAUGGAUUAUCACCAUGCUAUGUAGCAUUUGUGUAAGGUCAUCUCUCAAUGGUUCAACUUGAUUGAUUUUAGGGACUGCAAUAGCUAAAAAUAGAAAAACCUCUAAGCAACUUAUUCUGAUGAACUGCUUGAAAGUACAUUUACUAUAGCAACCAUUGUAUAAUUAACCAAAUUAAAGCUGCUGGAGUUAGACCUUUUACUAUUAUACUGAUCAAGUUUGAUCAAAAGUAGUGAGAGCAGAUCAGCUGAAAGUUGGUGCAUAGCUAGAGGUCAGAUUUGAAAACUCUGAGACUUCAAGAAACUUUAUAAGGCAGAAAUUGUACUUGUAUGGGGCAUAGACUGCUAGCAAGAAAUAGGCUGAGUCUUGGGACACAUAUAGCUUGGAAGAAACAUCAUUAAACUAAAAACACACUCUGUUACCUUAAUAUUAAGCUAAAGGUGGUUAAUCUGAUUUUGGUCAACCAAUGGAUUUGUUCGAAACUUUAACAAUGGUCAUUUACACUUACUUGUGUUCACUGGGUGCUUUAUACAUGGAGAUAUUUUCAUAUCCUUGUUAACACAUCAAUAUAGGGUUAUUUUAGCGUAAGUGUUGAGCUGAUAAAUUAUAUUGCCUAAUACUGUAAAAUCAUUAAAUUUCGUGGGCAUGAAAUUUCGUGGUUUUGGUCAAAACAGCAAUUUCAUGGGGAUAUGAAUUCGUGGAUAGCAACUUUUGAACAUAAAAUGAAUGGGAAUUUUACUUGUUCAUUGGGAUUAAAUUUCGUGGAUUAACUCAACCACGAAAUCCACGAAAAUUAGUCCCCCUUGAAUAUUAAUGAUUUCACAGUAUAAGAAAUGAAUUGAAUAUAUGAAGUAUUAUAUUAUGCUAAAGAUUUGCACUGACAAUUAAAUAUUUAGCCAAAAGUUUUUAGAAUUGCAAGUUUAUAUUAUUAUUAUUAUUACCUCCCUUUGCGUAUAUUUGUUGCACAGCUGGAAAUAAAGGAAUUUAGAAGCUACAUUUCUUAGAUAACCUUUACACUGCUAUAUUUCUAAAAUGGACUAGCCCAAUUCAUUCAAUUUGGGCAAUACCAUUUAUUAUUCAGAGGGGUGUUCACAGAAAAUUAACUGACUGAAGAGACUGUGCAGGCUGAUUUUGGUCUGUGUAUUGGCCACAAAGGCAAAAUCGCUUGCCACCAGCAGGCUAAAGAUUAAACAGGGAUUCCACUGUAUAUGAGUGGUCUUUUUGUUCCUUAAAUAAAUCUCUAACAGAAUAUAAGAAAACUGUAAAAUGUUGUAAAACAUUGCUUAAAUUUGACUCACCACCUUUAAAACUAUUGAAAGAUCAAGAUAAGUCAGGGAAAUACAGUCCCAUGAGAUGUUUAAAUGUUGCUAUGUACUUUUAUAGUACAUUUUCAUUUGCCUUAAUUCUAUGUCAGUAUUCUGUUUGAUGUAUCUUUAUAGGAAAAAAAGCUGACCAUUGCUUUAGAUGCUCAAUAAAACAGUCUAUGUGGCAGGCAUAGUUUGAGGAGAUGUUUUGUUUUAUCAACAACUGGCUAUAUACAGUCGAAUACCGUUACCUCGAUAUUCAAGGGACUGUAAAAAUUGCAUCGACUUAUCCGAAGUUCGCCGUAACGAUAUCGACUAUCUGGGACGUCUAUAUUGUCCGUAUAUCCAAUUCCUUUUUAGAGGGUUUGAAAGGGGAAAGAAAUAACAAAAAACAUAUACAAAUGGUAACCACAGUGCUUCUGAGUUUGAUUUAUUACAAACAUUUUUGCUUAGAAAAACUCCUGAUGUUGUUUGAAGAAAUGUGGUAGGGAUAAACUGUCCUGAUGUUGUUUGAAGAAAUAUGGUGGGGAAAAACUGUACUGAUGUUGUUUGAAGAAAUGUUGUAGGGAUAAACUGUAAUGGUGUUGUUUGAAGAAAUGUGGUAGGGAAAGACUGAACUGAUGUUGUUUGAAGAAAUGUUGUGGGGAUAAACUGUACUGAUGUUGUUUGAAGAAAUGUGGUGAGGAAAGACUGAACUGAUGUUGUUUGAAGAAUGUUGUGGGGAUAAACUGUACUGAUGUUGUUUGAAGAAAUGUGGCGAGGAAAGACUGAACUGAUGUUGUUUGAAGAAAUGUUGUGGGGAUAAACUGUACUGAUGUUGUUUGAAGAAAUGUGGUGAGGAAAGACUGAACUGAUGUUGUUUGAAGAAAUGUUGUGGGGAUAAACUGUACUGAUGUUGUUUGAAGAAAUGUGGUGAGGAUAAACUGUACUGAUGUUGUUUGAAGAAAUGUUGUGGGGAUAAACUGUAAUGGUGUUGUUUGAAGGAAAUGUGAUAAGGAAAGACUGUACUGAUGUUGUUUGAAGAAAAUGUGGUGAGGAAAAACUGUCCUGAUGUUGUUUGAAGAAAAUGUGGUGGGGAAAGACUGUACUGAUGUUGUUUGAAGAAAUGUGAUAAGGAAAGACUGUACUGAUGUUGUUUGAAGAAAUGUGAUAAGGAAAGACUGUACUGAUGUUGUUUGAAGAAAUGUAAAAGACCUGUUGUUCCCUGCCCUGCUAAAGCCUGACUAGAGCAGCAUAAAAGUCCUGUUAUUCCCUCAAACUUGACUAGAGCAGCAUAAAAGUCCUGUUAUUCCCUGCCCUACUUAGGCUUGACUAGAGUGGCAUAGAAGGCCCUGCAUAGGCUUGACUAGAGCAAUGUAAAAGUACUGUUAUUCCCUGCCCUGCUUAAGCUUGACUAGAGCAACAUAAAAGUCCUGUUAUUCAUUGCCCUGCUCAAUCUUGACAAGAGCAGCAUUAAAGUCCUGUUAUUCCCCUGCCCUGCUAAAGCCUGACUAGAGCAACAUUAAAGUCCUGUUAUUCCCCUGCCCUGCUAAAGCCUGACUAGAGCAACAUUAAAGUCCUGUUUUUCCCCUGCCCUGCUAAAGCCUGACUAGAGCAACAUUAAAGUCCUGUUAUUCCCCUGCCCUGCUAAAGCCUGACUAGAGCAACAUUAAAGUCUUGUUAUUCCCUGCCACUAGAGCAAAGUCCCUUUAAUUUCUUGUCCUACUCAAUAUUGUCUUAAUUCGAAGUAAAAGUGUUGUCUAAUAUUCCCAAUCCUGCUCAAUUUUAUGUUACAUGACUUAAAAAGUCCUGGUAUUCCCUCUUCAAACUUGACCAGAGUGAAAUAAAAGUCCUGUGCUCAAACUUGAGAAGUCAUGUUUCCCUGCCCUGCUCAGACUUGUCUGGUGUGAAGUUAAAGUCCUGUUCUGUUAUUCUGUGCCCAGUCCUUCAGUUGUAUAUGAAUUCAGAUAAUGAACAGAAUUCAUAUGGUUUAUGAUAGAAAAUGAAAUGAAUUGCUAGAUUUUGGACUGAGAGGUGAAAUUAUUUAUGUAGGGAUAACGCAUGUUUUUCCUGUUACAGCGUCUGCAGAAUCCCGAGGGAUUGGUUGGUGCCCCGAGCCUGUAGGACCAAUUGGAAGUGAAAAUUUAAUGUCUUUGUUGGGAACUUGCUUAUCUCAAAAUCAAUUUUUUUUAUCAGAGGACAUAUUCAAGUCCCUUUCCAAAAACACAUGAAUAAAUGUCGUUUUAAGGUUUAGCAGUAUAUCACCAAAUCACAGAAAUGUUUGGUAAGCUAGGAACAACAUUUUACCUACAAUCUACCUGUCUAAUACCAUGUUUUACCUUACUGUCCUGUACCAUUGGAUACUUGAAAUAUUCUCAAAAGUUGUCCCCCUUUAUAAAAGAAUGCCAUUUGUGAAGAAAUAAAAGUAAAUAAUUGUUCAUGUAACAGUUCUUUAAAAAUGGUGAGUAUUUAAAGGCAUUGAACUUUCCGGAAGUAUGACCCCUUCAUGCAAUCCCUUUUUAGAAUUUUCAUAUGUGAGCAAAUUGAUGCUUUUGUAGACGUAUAUAUAUGUUUUAUAUGCUGUUUAAUUUUCAUGUAAAACGACUAUGUUCGAAAUUUUUUUUACUAAAACCUAGACCUAACUCUUUAGUAGACUUUCUGUUAUUUGGAAGUAAAACGCUCACUGCUUUGAAUUCAUACCUUUACUUUUUGUCUAGUUAUGCAGAAAAUGUGCACUUUUAUAUGUAUUGUAAUAGCAAAGUGACCUACAUUGAGUAGACUUUCAUUUAAGAUAAUUUUUAAAAAGAAAUGGUGUCAAAGUAGCAAGAAAAACUAUAUUCCAAUUCACAUGCAUUUCUUUCCGGCUUUUGUGUAUAAUUUGAAUAGUCUUUUAUAUUUAUUAAGCGAUAUGGUGAUAUUGUUAUAGUGUUGACUGACUUUGAUUUUUCACAAACAAUAAAAGUUAUUAACACCCUUUUUAACCUUUAAUUAACCUUGAAAAUUGUUCAUUCAACUGUAAAUAAAAAAGUUCUUGUAUGUC